CGGAAAGCCCGUACAUCGACACGGCGCGGCGGAGCCACAGGCUCUCGCCGGGCUCGCGGCGGCGGCGGCGGCGGCGCGCGGAGCAGCUCGCUGGCGAGCGCGCCUGCGCACCACCCGCAUGAGGGGGAGGCCACACGACGGCGGGAUCCGCCGCGCCGUCAAGAGAGACUGCUGAAAGAUCCUCAAUAGUGUGCAGUUUACUGAUUUCGAACAAGGAAAAAACAUAUCGUACCAAAGCAGACUCUCCUCUUGAGGGUGAUACUUGCCAUGCCCUUGAUACCAGUGGUUGUCGUACUCCUUUUGAGUUUGUUCACGUUGGUGGCCUAAUAAUUGAUUGGCCAACUAAAUCACUAUCAUAUCUUCAGCUUCAUGGUUACUGUCCACUAACACGUUAUGAACGGGUUGGUUUUCCAAAGGAGCAGUCUGGCUUGUCUAGAGAGUGAGGCACAGGCUUACAACAGCAUUCACAUUCAUUUCCUAAUGAGAUUCAUUCUAGCCAGGGCUCAGUAAAAUGAUGUUGGUUUGACGGGAUACAACGGUCUACAAACCUUCUCAAAAAGCAAUGUGAUUAAUGCCUUUUGUGUCAUGUGCGCGUUUGUUGAUUGUUGUAUUGCAAAUGAAGUCAAGCCUUCCUUUGCGCUGUACUUCUCCCAAGGGAACAGUUCGAUCCAAAAGUUUUCACAGAUGCAAAUUCCUUGAUGCCAUAGACAUUGGAUGCAGAUGAGCAUUCUAUCUCUCUCAGUCUUGACAUAGAUUCUGCAGUUGUAGCAAGAAAUCUCUGUUUGCUUGCUGGUUGGUCCACUUUUUAGGUGUUCUUAGGUAGGAAAAACAAGCCACAGUAUGGAUUUGUGAUAUUUUUUAGACAACAGGUCAACAGCAACAAUAGCGUCGUCGCUGUCUGUUAAGGAACAAUCCCAAGAGGCGCACUGCAAACAAGGAUACAGUUCAGGAAAAACAUCUCUGCACCAACCAGGAGAAUAUCAGUGGGAGCAGUGUCCAGAAAGGCGGCCGCUUAUGGCUCGGCGGCAUAUAGGCUCCAGACGACGCGCUCUCAUCUCGCUCACUGGUCGUUGGUCGAUUUAUCCUGCAUAAUCGGUGAUUUGGCGCUUGUCUGCGGUGUCACAACUGUCGAGCGCCUUACUGAACACUGAGUGCAGUGAGUGAGAAGUUAUGUUCUCAAAUGUCUGGUGCAGAGACCAGAGUGUCUCCAUCUACGGGCUUGCUUUUCUUCCAUGUGCCAGAGAUUCCUUAUGUACUUGGCACAUUUUUGUUAGUGUUCUAGUGUGUUCUGUCACCUGUUUUACCUCUGUCAGAUAUAUAAAUUGUAUCUAUGCAGAAAUGUGAAUUGAUCAAAUGAAGCUUUAUUUUUCGAGAGAGGAAAUGAUAAAUGGAGCUUAAAUUUA
This is a long non-coding RNA of Triticum dicoccoides, 1403 nucleotides long. RefSeq lists it as uncharacterized. The transcript has 5 exons. The record is from RefSeq and is a predicted model, not a curated record. NCBI's taxonomy places the organism in Eukaryota, Viridiplantae, Streptophyta, Magnoliopsida, Poales, Poaceae.